UCCGUGUUCACCACGGCAGUCUCCCUAGAGUGCCCAACUGAAUGCUGGCAACUAAGGACAAGGGUUGCGCUCGUUGCGGGACUUAACCCAACAUGUCACCACACGAGCUGACGACAGCCAUGCAGCACCUGUCUCCCGGUCGUAUUGCUACGAAUUCCUCAUCUCUGAGGCGGUCCGGGGAUGUCAAACCCAGGUAAGGUUCUUCGCGUUGCUUCGAAUUAAACCACAUGAUCCACCGCUUGUGCGGGCCCCCGUCAAUUCCUUUGAGUUUUAGUCUUGCGACCGUACUUCCCAGGCGGGAUACUUAGUGCGUUAGCUCCGACUCGGCAGGGGUCAAGACCCACCUAGUCUAGUAUCCAUCGUUUACAGCGUGGACUAC
This 379-nucleotide unclassified non-coding RNA is filed under the name uncultured delta proteobacterium. RNAcentral describes it as "contains 16S-23S intergenic spacer region". Lineage: Bacteria; Deltaproteobacteria. The record is from RNAcentral.